Molecule: ribosomal RNA, 464 nt
Filed under: uncultured bacterium
Lineage: Bacteria
Description: partial 16S ribosomal RNA
Rfam family: Bacterial small subunit ribosomal RNA
Source: RNAcentral
ACGCACGCUGGCGGCGUGCUUAACACAUGCAAGUCGAACGGAAAGGCCCUGCUUGCAGGGUACUCGAGUGGCGAACGGGUGAGUAACACGUGGGUGAUCUGCCCUGCACUUCGGGAUAAGCCUGGGAAACUGGGUCUAAUACCGGAUAGGAGCCAUUUUUAGUGUGAUGGUUGGAAAGUUUUUUCGGUGUAGGAUGAGCUCGCGGCCUAUCAGCUUGUUGGUGGGGUAAUGGCCUACCAAGGCGGCGACGGGUAGCCGGCCUGAGAGGGUGGACGGCCACAGUGGGACUGAGAUACGGCCCAGACUCCUACGGGAGGCAGCAGUGGGGAAUAUUGCACAAUGGGCGCAAGCCGGAUGCAGCGACGCCGCGUGGGGGAUGACGGCCUUCGGGUUGGAAACUCCUUUCGCUAGGGACGAAGCUUUUUGUGACGGUACCUAGAGAAGAAGCACCGGCUAACUACGUG